UACACGUAUUUAGGGAUGAAUAUGCGUGAUAUAGGCCUACUGGGGAACCGAGCACAUAAAAAUAAUAUCGAAAUGCAAAAUGCCCAAAAGUUAUUUUUAAAGUAUCCAAUCCAUUUUCUUUCAACAGUGGCAUUAUUGACAAAUGUUUUAAAAAAUGUGGGUUUUGACAGCUCUCUCUCGAAUCAAAGAGUUUCGUAUCAUGUCAUUAUUUCUCUGUCAACAAAUCUUUAUAAUUAUCCCACAGCAUUUGUGCUCGGAUCAGGAAACAUGUUAUCAGUACUAAAUAGUAAACAAAUUUGUGUUCCUGUGCAAUUUAAUGCAGCUGUAGCAAACAUAUUCUAGCAAUCGCAGUUGUCCAUUUUUUUACGCAUAUAUUGAAAUUACAAUGGUCUGGUGACAUUAUCCAACAACAGUCGCAGAUAAAAGCACUCAGUCUACUAUGGAUUGACUGUAUAUACACGACCCAAAUAUUAUAGCACGAUUUCGUUUGUGAAAAAUACGCGCUGACCGUUUUCGAGAUACAGAACUAAAUAGAUAGAUCCUGUUUAUUUGUUUGGAAACCGAAGGUACCCCAGGAAGCUUCAUUGUAGCUGAUAAACCGGCCCAUUUGGUACAAUAGUACUUUCAAUUCUAAAUUCACUUAGACUGAUUUGAAUGAAACUCUCAGGAAAUCUUAAGAUUGGCCUGACGAGUAAUCCUGUAAAGUUUGGUGACGAUCGGAGCACUUUUCUGUUUGAACUGCCAAAUACAGUUUUUAUUUACUAUGAUGAUAUUUUAUUGUUUUAUAACCCAAAUUUGUGUUGACACAUGCGUUGUGGAUAUAUGUAUUGUAUAUUUCAUCACGAAGCAUAUUGAAAUAGAAUGGAGUAUAAUAAAGUAUAUUAAAGUAAAUAAUUAAGGAUUUUUAAGAAUUUGAGAAUCAUUGUAAUGAAUAAAAAAUGGCACCAAAAAAAGAAAGUAUUGGUAAAAAAAAAAAACCUCCAAAUCAAAGAAAGUUAAGGAAAAAUGGGCAAAUGAAACAGCUAAGGAACGUGAGUUACGCCUUGAGAAAAAUCGUAACAGAAUAUCUACAAGAAGUAAUAUGGAAACUGAAGAAGAGCGUGAACAAAAUUGUGAUAAAGAAACUUCAUCACGAGCUACCGAGACAAUUCGAAAACGUACGCAAAUACUUGAUGAACCCGAAUGGCUCAAUCACGAAAAAGAAUAGAUUUAAAACUUGCGGCGUUCAACUACAGUAAGGAUGACGACUACAGAAAUCACAAGGAGCUAGUGAUCGGUGCAAUGAACAAAGUUUGUUCAUAUUGUGGUGCUUUGAAGUUCGCGAAAGAGUCCCCUGGAAUGUGCUGUUCGAACGCUUCUUUGUUGUGCUUGCAGUGGUUCAUUUAAAUCCGUUCAUUCGUGAAUGCAUAUCUGUAUUCACUUGUGUAAAUGUCAAAAGCUAACCUAGCUCUUGAGGAGUAUACAGUUUCCGUUCUUUGGUUUGCUGUGAAAAUUGCAAUUCAGCAAAGCAAAAUUCAAAACAAGAAUUAACACAACACAGUAAAAUUGAAAAACAGUAGGUAUAUAUAUCGUCACCUACAUUCGAUAACGUGUUGUACUGAGUACGAUUCACAUCAUAUUUCAUAUAAUAUUAAAAAAGUUCAAGCUUCAGCUACCAGAUGUAUCUAAGGUAUAAACAAAGUUCCAGUUUAUAUUUUAUAUCGUGUUUCCUAUUCCUGUAAACUUAACAAACAAAAUGUUACGUUAUUUCGCAUUUUAGGUGACGAUAUUUUUUAAUACUUACUAUUAGCAUAGCAUGCCGGCUCGACGCCAUUUCGCAAAUAAUUUUAUCAUAAAUUCCCACACAUACAUAAUGACAAUAUAUGUAUAUAUAUUAAAUAUAUAUGUAUAUAUAUUACAUAAUAUAAGACCUCAAACACAAAUUUAAAUAUAUAUAUAUGUCAAAAGUUACAGUUACAUAUAGUAGAAUAACAAAUUAUUAUUUCUAUAUACAUAUACUACUAGUGAAAUUUAAGAAAAUAAACUGUCUAUGAUUUAUA
Long non-coding RNA from Bactrocera oleae (olive fruit fly), 2039 nucleotides. RefSeq lists it as uncharacterized. Lineage: Eukaryota; Metazoa; Arthropoda; Insecta; Diptera; Tephritidae. The record is from RefSeq and is a predicted model, not a curated record.